AUUGAACGCUGGCGGCAGGCCUAACACAUGCAAGUCGAGCGGAUGAAGGGAGCUUGCUCCUGGAUUCAGCGGCGGACGGGUGAGUAAUGCCUAGGAAUCUGCCUGGUAGUGGGGGAUAACGUCCGGAAACGGGCGCUAAUACCGCAUACGUCCUGAGGGAGAAAGUGGGGGAUCUUCGGACCUCACGCUAUCAGAUGAGCCUAGGUCGGAUUAGCUAGUUGGUGGGGUAAAGGCCUACCAAGGCGACGAUCCGUAACUGGUCUGAGAGGAUGAUCAGUCACACUGGAACUGAGACACGGUCCAGACUCCUACGGGAGGCAGCAGUGGGGAAUAUUGGACAAUGGGCGAAAGCCUGAUACAGCCAUGCCGCGUGUGAAGAAGGUCUUCGGAUUGUAAAGCACUUUAAGUUGGGAGGAAGGGCAGUAAGUUAAUACCUUGCUGUUUUGACGUUACCAACAGAAUAAGCACCGGCUAACUUCGUG
This 482-nucleotide ribosomal RNA is filed under the name uncultured bacterium. Its description in RNAcentral is "partial 16S ribosomal RNA". It matches the Rfam family "Bacterial small subunit ribosomal RNA", at positions 30 to 507 of the family's 1533-position model. The record is from RNAcentral.